Molecule: transfer RNA, 64 nt
Filed under: Nycteribia allotopa
Lineage: Eukaryota; Metazoa; Arthropoda; Insecta; Diptera; Nycteribiidae
Description: tRNA-Thr
Source: RNAcentral
GUUUUAAUAGUUUAAUAAAAACAUUGGUUUUGUAAACCAAAUUUAAAUAAAUAUAUUUAAAACA